RNAcentral lists this ribosomal RNA (440 nucleotides) under uncultured bacterium. RNAcentral describes it as "partial 16S ribosomal RNA". It matches the Rfam family "Bacterial small subunit ribosomal RNA", at positions 338 to 795 of the family's 1533-position model. The record is from RNAcentral.
CCUACGGGCGACUGCAGUAGGGAAUAUUGCUCAAUGGGGGAAACCCUGAAGCAGCAACGCCGCGUGGAGGAUGAAGGUUUUCGGAUUGUAAACUCCUUUUGUUAGAGAAGAUAAUGACGGUAUCUAACGAAUAAGCACCGGCUAACUCCGUGCCAGCAGCUGCGGUAAUACGGAGGUUGCAAGCGUUACUCGGAAUCACUGGGCGUAAAGAGCGCGUAGGCGGGAUAGCAAGUCAGAUGUGAAAUCCUAUGGCUUAACCAUAGAACGGCAUUUGAAACUGUUAUUCUAGAGUAUGGGAGGGGGAGGUGGAAUUCGUGGUGUAGGAGUAAAAUGCGUAGAGAUCAAGAGGAAUACUCAUGGCGAAGGCGACCAGCUAGAACAUAACUGACGCUGAUGCGCGAAAGCGUGGGGAGCAAACAGGAUUAGAUACCCGAGUAGUC